AUUGAACGCUGGCGGCAGGCUUAACACAUGCAAGUCGAGCGGGGGAAGGUAGCUUGCUACCGGACCUAGCGACGGACGGGUGAGUAAUGCUUAGGAAUCUGCCUAUUAGUGGGGGACAACAUCUCGAAAGGGAUGCUAAUACCGCAUACGUCCUACGAGAGAAAGCAGGGGAUCUUCGGACCUUGCGCUAAUAGAUGAGCCUAAGUCGGAUUAGCUAGUUGGUGGGGUAAAGGCCUACCAAGGCGACGAUCUGUAGCGGGUCUGAGAGGAUGAUCCGCCACACUGGGACUGAGACACGGCCCAGACUCCUACGGGAUGCAGCAGUGGGGAAUAUUGGACAAUGGGGGGAACCCUGAUCCAGCCAUGCCGCGUGUGUGAAGAAGGCCUUAUGGUUGUAAAGCACUUUAAGCGAGGAGGAGGCUACUCUAGUUAAUACCUAGGGAUAGUGGACGUUACUCGCAGAAUAAGCACCGGCUAACUCUGUGCCAGCCGCCGCUGUAA
Molecule: ribosomal RNA, 501 nt
Filed under: uncultured bacterium
Lineage: Bacteria
Description: partial 16S ribosomal RNA
Rfam family: Bacterial small subunit ribosomal RNA
Source: RNAcentral